RNAcentral lists this long non-coding RNA (2006 nucleotides) under Homo sapiens (human). RNAcentral describes it as "HSALNT0242256". The record is from RNAcentral. Lineage: Eukaryota; Metazoa; Chordata; Mammalia; Primates; Hominidae.
GGUCGGGGAGCUUGUAUAUAUGAGUCACAUUCGCAGGCAUGGAUGAAGCAGUUGCUCACUGUGCCCCCAUGCUGGGCUAAGCAAGUUAAACACUGGGUCCUGCUCCUCUGAAGUAAGAAAGAAUGACUGCUGGAUGCACUUCACAGAAAAGGAAAAUAAACCACUUGCCCAAGGUGAGCCGUCUAGUAAGUGGCUUCACUAAGCACAGAGUAUGCAGGAAACAUCAUCAAAGAAAUGGAUGCGUGGUGGGAUGGAUGGAUGGAUGAUGAUGGAUGAGCAAACCUAGGUCUGAUUCCCAAAUUGAGCUCUUAACUUCUCCCUAAUCCUGGGGGGCAGUAAAGAAGAGAGGGGGGCUAGAGCCGUCCAGGGUACCCAAAGGAGAGGCACCCUGGCUGUUUUCCUUACCCCAUCUCACCUGGAAUAAAAUCAGAAGUCACAGCCACAGCCUACGAGGUCCUGUGCCACCUGACUCGACUCAUCUCCUACCACCCUCCCCUCCAUUCAUCUACUCCAGCCCUAGUGGACUCCUUGCUACUCUCUCAACAGGCCCACUCCCCUCACCUCGGGGCAUGUGCACUUACGAUCCCCUCUGCCUAAGAUAUCUUCCCCCAGCUGCCCACCUGGUUCUCUCUUCAAAUGUCAACUUCUUGAGAGGCCUGCUGAGAUCCUUAUUUAAAUAUCACUUGGUCACUUGGUGUCCCGUUACCCAUUUUAAUUUUUCUCCUAAGCAAUCAUAACCAACUAAUAUCUAUUUGUUUGUGUCUGACUUUCCCAACCUCACUCAGGAAUAGAAACUGCAAAAGCAGGGGUUUGGUUUUGUUUGCAGCUGUAUUCCCAACACCUACAACAGUGCUUUGUACAGAGUCAACAUCAAUGAAUAUUUGCCAAAUGAAUGAAUGAAUGAAUGGCUCUGACAAGUCCUGAAAGGAAGAGCAGGAUCUCCUCAUAGGCACCACUGGGUUCAAACAUGUGCUAAAUCUAUGUAAGACAUUGCCCCCUCCUCCAAGAAGCCCUCCUGAAUUUGUACCUUCUUCAGCAAGAAGCCAAAACUCCCAGCAUUAAGAACUUGCUGCAUCCAGUAGAACACAGUGCCUCCCCUCCUGCCCUCUCGCUCCCCCACCUUGAUCUCCUUUCCCUGUGAUCUUUCCAGGUGAGCGGAAGGGAGAGAAAAGCCCGGACCUGGGGUGCCCGCUUGGCCAGCCUACAGCAAUGGUGCCCCAGCCAGGAGGUAGGAGGAGGCGGUGCCCCAGGCUUAAGGCAUGAAUGGGGCAGGAGGUGGAUGAAAGGCAGGACUGCUCCUGGCCUAACGAACAAAGGGGACCAGAGCAGGUGUGAGGGGGACUGGGGGCCAGCCGGGAGGAGAAACUGGAUCUGGAGCUGGAGAUCAGUUUCACCUGCAGCAGUGCAGGUUUCCAUUAGCUUUCUUUGGCUGUCACUCAUGCUUUGGGGACAAAGCUCAGGCUGGAGGUUGAGGAGAGGCAGAGGCCAGGGAGCGGGGGCUCCUUUCUCUCGGGGUCAGUCUCCAGCAGCGUCUCUACUUCCCAGGAGGCAGCCACACAAGGUCAAAGCCCAACAGGAGCUUAGAAAAGAUAGUCCAAUGCUAUCAUUUUACAGAUGGGACCAAUGAAGCCUCCAGGGUACCAUGACUCACCAAGGUCACACAGCUACUGGCAGAGCUGGGACCUGAAUCCAGGAGUCCUGGCUGUCAGGAGAGACGCCACAGAGGAAGCAGGUGGAGCGUGGGUCUAUCCGGGAAGUAACAAGUGCCCCUGCAAUGCGUUUUCAUGUCAGAAAUAGAAAUGGCUCAUCACCUAGUUGGGGCACCAACUGGGUUCCUAACCCAAAGACUCCAAAUAAAAGAAGAAGCUGCAUUUGCUAUCAUUUUUUAAAAUUUUGUUUUGUAGAGAUGGGGUCUUGCCCCCACGUUGCCCAGGCUGGUUUCAAAUUCCUGGCCUCAACCCAUCCUCCCGCCUCGUUGUCCCAAAGCACUGGGAUCACAGGGGUGA